UUAGGUUCGCUCGAUCCGGCCAGCUGAGCACCUCCUGGGUCGUCCCUGCCUAUAAAUUCGAGGGCGCCGCGUUGUUAAUCCUUAGGUUGGCCAAAGUAUACGCCUCAUCGUGAGAUAGAGAGAAGAUAAAGGGGGAGCUGUCGCUGGUAAUCUUCACCGCCGUGCGGGCCGCGACGGUUACACAAGGAACUUCACCAAGAUCCAACGAAGGGGCGUGCGAAUGAUUACGGGCGCGUGAUUGAGUGGGUGUCGAUGAAUUUCUCGCCGUCGUACCAUGGGUGUCGUGGAUCCGCUCCACACUGCGGGUCGGCCUCACCACAACGCCGACAAUGGUGAGAUUUCUUGCUAAGUGUUCGCCAUCACGUAGAUCACGUCAGGUUCAAGGGUUGCAAGCCUAGGCAAAGUUUCGCACUCGCCGAUGAUGGCCUCCACCACGGGGGCUUGGCGGCGCUGCCCAAAGUCGGUUGGGGGUGGGCGAUGGGUUCUGGCCCGUUGAUCCAACAACGAGCAAUUUCGAUUAGACAACACGUAUCACUUUGGCGUAAUCAAUCCGAACUCUCGAAUCGUGAUCAAGUGGGUGAUAUCAAAAUAGGAUAAAUUAAAUCAGAGGUAUAGAACUUGGAUCCUGUGGCUGUUGAAGAUACCGCUUCACGAUCUAUUCUAGGCCAUGGAUCUAAGAUCCUAGGGCCCAUAUCGCGUACCGGUUCGAUGGUUUGUUUUCAGCCAUCGGAUCUAGAUCCAAUGGUAAGGAAGUAACACUUGUUGUGAGCCGAGGCAAUUUAGCUAAAGAGUCCCUGAAGUACUUCGAAAUUAACCCGCCAUCCUGUUUUUCAUAGCAAAGCCCUCGGGUUAACUUUUAAAAUUGCAAACCACUCACUGGACUCUCCAAAUAGACCCAUGUAGACUGAUUUAGAGUUUAAAGUCAAUAUAAAAAGAAUAGAAAUCUAGAUAAACCAUAUCUUAUUCAUUUUAAGUUCAUUUUAGUCCAUUGAAGUCGCGUUAGCUUCGUAAUAAAAUUGGCUAUAUAGUAACAACAUUAGUUGUAUCAUGUCACACUUUUAUAAUUAGAUAUUUGUUUAAUCUAUGUUUAGUAGAUUAACCUUUCUAAAGUUAAUCUGAGAAUAAUUAUAAUUUGACUAAAAUAUUAUCUCUAAUCAAGUUAUAAUUUAGAUUAAAGAUGAGUUUGUAUUUUGAAUAUCUUUCUCACACGAUGUAUAUUAAUCAACUUAUAAACAUAAGUUUUAAUGUUUAAUCACCUAAAUCUUCAAAAAAACCAUAUCUUAUUAAUCGUAACUCCGAUUUUAGUGAAUCUCGAGCAUACGAUCUCGUAGCGGCGCAUAGAAUAUUAUUGUGUGGUUCGUUUUCAUCUUUGGUGUAAUGUUAUUUUUACCUAUUCUUUGUCUAUCUAUAUGUAUUGCUACGUGUAGAAACGAGGUAACGGGAAUUGAAGGCCAAGUUUUGGGGAGACAUAUGGACAACAUGUUAUCAUAAGUAAAAGGUAAGUUGUGUCCUUGGUCACUUUCUUUGACCUAAUAAUGUUCUGUUAUUCACCUUGGCAUAGUUAGGUUAAGCUGAUGGAACCUAAUAGGUUGCGUAGUUUGUUUAUCCUACACCUUGCAAACAAAUGAACUAUUGGGUAGUCUUGCUAUUGCUCUACCUGGUUUUGGGACUAAUAUUACAUUUAAAUUAUGAUCAUGCUCUAUUAUUAUUGUUGGUUUAAUUAUUGUUCAUGAUAAGAUCAUUUUGUUAAUUGGAACAUGGAGCGACCACCCGAGAAAACAGUGCUACCAUAAGGUUGGCCAAUUAAUUUAGAAAGCUAGGGAAAGAUUACCUUACCCGAAAGGGGGAAGCCGGGAGUGAAUCGCUACAGAGUAUGGGGAGGCUCUCGAGUCGAACUGUUUGUGAUAGCUGUUCGGACGAGGGAUUCAUGUGCUUCCUUUUGCCUGAAACCGCAAUGGGUUUUCUAAAACUAGUGGAAUUUUGGAAAGGCUUUGUAGUGCUACUCUGCCUCGUCUCCUCGGUAGAGAUGAAUGGGAGUCGAGAUUGCUUGGCAAAUGGGUAACACGACUUGUGGGUAAAGAUGCACAACCUUUUGCAGGAUGUAAAACUGGUAUAUCAGUCAUGCUCACGGUCAAGAGCGGCCCAGACCCUCACAUGAGUAAGUUAUGGAAUUAAACUUAACCUUUCAUUUGCAUUGCAUUGUGAGAUUUAUUCAUCAUUGAGAUCAAUUAUUUAAUUGGGUUGGUAUUGACUUAUACUUAAUAAUUGCUAAUAGAUUUUUGACCAACACUAAAAGCAAUGCUCAGCCUUAACCAUUUUCCUUGGUAAGCCUUACACUACACUUUUUCCCACAUUUGCUGAGCAAUGAACGCAUGUGAGCUCACCCUUGCUAUACUCACACGAGGUCAAGAAUAGGUACCGCCAAGAUGAGGAGCAUAAUUGAUGCUACGAUGAGUUCGAAAAGGUCUAGACCGUCGUCUCCCAGUCAACUAUGGUUGCAGAGGAUUGUUGCCAUCAUAUGAUGUAUUUAUUUAGUUAUUUUGUACAGAACCCCUAUAUGUAAUAAAGAUGUGACAUUAAUUUCUGUACCA
Molecule: long non-coding RNA, 2591 nt
Filed under: Zea mays
Lineage: Eukaryota; Viridiplantae; Streptophyta; Magnoliopsida; Poales; Poaceae
Description: long non-coding RNA (ZMAY_LNC001814)
Source: RNAcentral